CCUAUGCGCCUCAACUUUUAAUGGUAAUAAACACAAGCUGACCGCGGUGACAUUAACGUCCCAGCUGAGGUUCUCAAAAUAUUAACAGUUCCUCAAUAACACCAGUCAGCGACUUCACAUCGUUACUCAAGACAGCUUCUGUGAAAGCUUUUCUUCAGACGAGCCACGAAAUCUUUCUUCCCUGCGGGUCCUUCUCAAGCCUGACAGCCCACGUGAUUUUUUUCAGUAUCCUUCAAUCUGUUGGCAGUUAUGCGUUCGAGUGCUUUUUAUGAUACGAGUGGUUCAGUUUAUCAGUGGUUCGGAUCAUGUGAACUUAUGACCUUUCAGAAAGAAACAACAACAGCAAAAAAAACAGCUAUUAUUGUGAUUUGAAUUGAACAACGACUUCAAAAACGGUCGAUACAAAUAAACGAGAUA
Neolamprologus brichardi is the source of this 417-nucleotide long non-coding RNA. RefSeq lists it as uncharacterized. NCBI's taxonomy places the organism in Eukaryota, Metazoa, Chordata, Actinopteri, Cichliformes, Cichlidae. The record is from RefSeq and is a predicted model, not a curated record.